Molecule: long non-coding RNA, 6790 nt
Filed under: Aquilegia coerulea
Lineage: Eukaryota; Viridiplantae; Streptophyta; Magnoliopsida; Ranunculales; Ranunculaceae
Description: long non-coding RNA (ACOE_LNC002206)
Source: RNAcentral
AUUUUCUCUAUCCUCAAUCAUCUUCACCACACUAUCAAUACUUGGGCGCUCAUCUGGUAAAGAAGAAACACAAGAUAUAGCAAUCUGCAGCAACAUUACCAUCUCUUCAUCUUCUAUACCACUAUUGUACCUCAUCAACUCCAAAUCAAACACUUCAGCUGUCCAUUCUUCCCUAACCACUGACUGAACCCAUCUAGGAAGGUCCACAUUUUCAGACACACCAUUUUCAGAGCUCAUUAAUGGCUUUCUCCCUGUCAACAUCUCCAGUAGUAAAACACCAAAUGCAUAUAUAUCUGCCUUUUGAUGAGAAAAAUGUGUCCCCUCUAUCAAUGUUUCAGGUGCACGGUAUCCGUUGGAUCUUGACAUUAUGGGCACAGUUACAAACGCAGAGAGGUCAAAAUCUAUAAGCCGAGGGUUACCAGUUGGAUCAAUAAGAACGUUGGUAGACUUUAUGUUGCCAUGUGAAAGUCUAGGUCCCUGUAAAGAGUAGUGGUGAAUGUAGUUUAGUCCAUGAGCCACUCCCGCUGCAAUCUUCAACCUGGUAGUCCAGUCAACAUGGGCAGAUCUGACACCAGGUUCACCAUGAAGAAGGGAAUACAAACUUCCGUUAGACAUGUAUUCAUAAAUCAGCAUCUUGUCACCUUUAGAAAAAUAAUAAGCUUUUAAACUAACAACAUUAUUGUGUUGUAACUUCCCCAACACCUCCAGAUAUUUCUCAAACACCUCUUGCUUUUCACCAUCUUGUAUUAUUUUUACCCUAUUAACGCAAACAACUACACCAUUUUCUAAAACUGCUUUAUACUUUGUUCCAAAAUCACCUCUCCCCAGCACUUCAGCUGAAGCUCUCAACAAAUCUUCCAAAUCAAACUGUCUGAUUCCUUCAAAGAAAACCAGUUCGUUCUUGAAACCAGCUUGAUGAGAUUUGUUCGGACUUAACGAGGAGACAAUUUUCUCCGUUUCGGCGAACUGUGAACCUUUUUUAUUUCCAAAUUUCCCCAACUUUUUUGAGAUAUAGCUUAAGAGACCACCAGUCUUGACAGGUAAGCUGAAAGCAGAAGGGUUAGUUUCAUCAAUCCUGCAUGAUUAAAAAGCUUAAAUUAAGUUUUAUUAGUUCUUACGUGAUACUAAUUUCAUAAAGUCUGAAAUCUGAACACUGGGAUCUAUAAAAGUGAAGAUGCAAUUUUUUCUCUUAAACAAUCAACAACAUAGUUUAUUAUGAAAUAUUCUUAGUUGUGAAAUACAGCUAGCAAUCAUACCUUUCAUCCAUGGUAGGCAAGACUUCUGAAGUCUCUGGAAUCGCCUCUAUUGUUGGUGGUAGCACUGAAGAUUCCAAGGACUGCCCAAACUGAAAUGGAUAGGGAGGCGUCCCAACUGGUAUCUUUUUCUGAAGCAUUAACACCACAUCGCUCAUGGAUGGUCUUAUUUCAGGUGUAUACUGUGCACACCAUAAUGCAACCGUAGAUAAUAUCUUUGCUUUUUCGCUAUCCUUCUCCGAAAUGCCACAAUCCUUCAUAAUUUUAUCUAGUUGUCCAUUCUUAUAGUUCUCCCAUACUUGUUGUGGAAACCAAUUUUCUCCUUCCCCAUUGCGUCGCCUCCCUAAAACUUCAAACAGCAUCAUGCCAAAGCUGUAAACAUCACAUUUAUAAGUUACUUGUGAAGAUGGCAUCCAAGUUUCUGGUGCAUUAUAACCUACUGUCCCUCUAAUUCUACUUAAGGAGACACGACUUACAUCCCUUUUCAUAAGCUUUGCCAAUCCAAAAUCUGUAAUUUUAGGAGAAAGAUUUUUAUCAAGAAGCACAUUACCCGCCUUUAUGUCAUAGUGUAUAAUUCUCUCGUCCCAACCUUCAUGCAAAUAAUCGAUCCCCUUUGCUAUCUCAAUAGCAAUACCAUACAACCUUUCCCAUUCUAUACUACUGCCAUGGUUAUCAUACAAAAUCUUAUCUAGAGAUCCAUUUUCCAUAUAUUCAUACACAAGUGCUUUCAUGUCGCGUUCAAAGCAAUACCCAAAUAGUUUCACUAAGUUACGAUGGUAAGCUUUGCCCAUUGUUCUGACUUCAGCCAUGAAGGUCUCUUCCACGACAUCCAUCUUUGCUAGUACCUUGACAGCUAUAUGCAAACCCCCAGGAAACUGACCCUUGUAAACUUCUCCAUACCCACCAAAGCCAAUAGGUAUAGAAAAUUUAAAGGUAAACUUUUCAAGAUCCCCAUAAGAAUAUGGCUUUGGUCCCAGUUCACUUAAGAACUUUUCAACUUCUGAGUUAGCAUCUUCAAGUACAACAGAAUUCGUCAUAGUACAUCCCAAGUAGAAGAUGGAAGACAAAAGUGGCAAUUACAACUUAACUCCUCCUGUGAUAAGAACAGUUUAUGAGAAAUCGCUCCGUGUUCAAUAAACUGAAAUCAUUAAUGUCCUCUAUAUGAAAUUAUUCUUACUCAGACUAAACAAGAAUUGUCCCAAAGCAAUUUGAACAAAUGGUUAUAAUUACAAUAAGUGCAUUUUUAUCAAAACCCCGAAGCAAUUUUGAAACACAAACCCCCCCAUAUAGCUACUAUAUAUACUAGUGUCUAGUAUACUACUAAACAUUUUAUCUUGAAUCAAGAAGGAUAGUCAGGUAGAUAUAUAUAAGAGAUGGAAUGAAGUAAAAUUACCUGUUUAAAUGAUAUUGCAAAGGUGUGGCAAAUCUGUAUUGAAGAAAAAAACCAAAGUCCAAGCAAAACUCCACUAUCAAAAGAGAUAAAAAAGAGUGAGGUAUAGAGAUUGAUUCCCCCAACCCCAAAGUUUUCUUUAGCUUCUCUGUUCUUUCUCUCAAAUUCAUAAAUCAUAGUUAAGCUCGAUCUAACAGAGGAAUGUAAUUGGAGUUUAAUAAUAAUUAAGCUAGUUCGUGGAAAAUGUUCCUAGUUACUUAUUCCAUAUCUAAUGAAAGAAAAAAACAAAGAACAACUCGUUAAUAUACAAUCUCAAUGUCAACAUCAACUUGUGGAGUUUUUCCAUUAAUGAGAUUGUUAAUAGUAAUUGCAGGCUUACGCUAUUUCCUGCUUUGGUUUAAGCAAUGAGUCCAAUGUCUAGUUGUUGUUUAUGUUUCUUAAGCAAAAAGAAAGACAUGAUGAUAUUCAAGUAUACAAAAAUACUGCCUAAAAGACAGAAAAUGUUCUGAUUUCUUCAAUUGGUUAAAACACUUACAGUUUAGCUUAAAGAAAAAAGAAAAAUCAUGCCUUUGGAAUCCCAUAUAACAAAAUCUUUAACUUGCCCUCUUCUUCCAUCUUUCUUACUUCCUGAUCUCCACCAAUAAACCUUCCUUUAACAAACACAGCAGGAACCACUGUUUGAUCUAAUAACUUAACCAAUUCAUCCCUAUAGUCCGAAUUCAAAUGAAUGUUUCGCUCUGACAUCUUCACUUGAUAUGAUUCUAAUAUUUCACAAAUAGCACGACACCCAUGUUCCAUAUAUGCUCUGGCGGUACUUGUGUAAAUAAUAACACAAUUUUCACCUCCAGGAGGGCACUUCUUCUCGAACUUUUUUAGCAUCAAUUCUGAUACUCUUACUUUCAGCACAUCAUCAGUGGACUUUUUGAGCAUCAAUUCUGACUCUCUUGCUUUCAUGAGUUUCAUCAAAUCAUCAUAUUCCUCUCCCACCUGUUCUUCCCCUUCCCACUUUGCUGCAGUCACUUCACUACUCGUUUCCCAAAAAUAUUUUGACGUCGUUUCAAAGUUGUCCUCUGCCAGUUGUUUUCUCUUUUCUUCUUCCUUUACCGGGGAGCGUGACCAGGGUGAUGGUUCAAAAAGGUUUCCAUUUAUUUUAUUCGCUGCCGGUUGUUUUCUCUUUUCUUCUUCCUUUACUGGGGAGCGUGACCAGGGUGAUGGUUCAAAAAGGUUUCCAUUUAUUUUAUUCGCCGGGAAAUCAUAAGUCAGUUCACUACUAUUUCCGGUCUUAAAUUUCGGCAGCAUCACUCCAUAUUCCGAAAUAGAUUUCAUCGUGGUUCCAUAGUCGUUCUCUGCCUGUUGUUUUCUCUUUUCUUCAUCCUUUACAGGGGCUGAGGCAGGAAUGGCUGUCACACUGCAAAUAAAAGGAUUAACUUUUUCACUCUUUCAUUCUGUUUCUUGCUUGUUUCAUGCCAGAAAAUUUUAAAUGGGUGAUAUGAAUUUAAGUGUUUUCUCUUCAGAAGUAAUUACGGAACAAUGAUGAAAAUCUCUAUUGUCAAAGAAAAAUGAUUCUAAAUUUCUAUAGUAAGACCUUUUAAGAAACAAAGUAUAUAUUUAAAAAAUAAACAUUACAAUUUAUUGCAUUUCUUAGUUCAUACUGUAUUCAUCCAUAUCUAGAUGCCAAUUCUUUCCUCUUUUUUUAUUCUACAAAAGGAUUAGUCUUGACAUGAAGUUUCAAACAUAAAUUAUUUUCACAUAGAUGCUAAGCUCAAUUGUGCAAUAUCAAAUGGCUCAAUUAGCACGCCAAUGCAUAAUUUAAGAAAAGACCAUAAUGCUGUGGUCAUAGUUUUUUAUCAAUUGUGCAAUAUCAAUUAGGCUUUUUAAAUAAACCUAUGCAACCAAGAAAACAAAUUACAUGGCUAGUGUUUACCUUUCAUCAACUUCUAGAUUAACCUCUGGAAGCACCUCUAGUAAUGAUGGUAGCAUUGAAAAACUGGAGGACUGCCCAAACUGAAAUGGAUAGGGAGGCUUCCUAACAGGUAUUUCAUUCUCAAGCACCAUUACAACCUUGUUCAUUGGAGGUCUUAUUUCGGGAUUAUAUUGAGAGCACCAUAACGCAACCGUAGAUAAUAACUUUGCUUUCCCUCUAUCUUUCUCUGUGAUGCCACAGUCCUUUAUAAGUUGGUCUAGCUGUCCAUUAUUAAACUUUUGCCAAACUUGUUCCGGAAACCAGUUUUCGCAUUCUCCGUUGCUUCUCUUCCCUAAAAUUUCAAAUAACAUCAUGCCAAAGCUAUAAACAUCACAUUUGUAAGUUACGUGUGAUCCCGGCAACCACGUCUCUGGGGCAUUAUAACCCUGGGUGCCUCUGGUUCUGGUCAAGGGGACUUGCGAGAUAUCCCUUCUCAUAAGCUUUGCUAAUCCAAAAUCUGUAAUUCUAGGGGAAAAAUUCUUGUCAAGGAGCACAUUACCAGCCUUUAUGUCAUAGUGAAUUAUUUGUUCAUCCCAACCAUCAUGCAAAUAGUGAAGCCCCCUUGCAGUCUGAACUGCAAUACUAUACAAUGUCACCCAGUCUAUACCACUACCGUGGUUCUCGUACAAAAUCGUAUCCAAAGAACCGUUCUCCAUAUAUUCAUAAACAAGUGCUUUCAUGUUAUGCUCAAAGCAAUACCCAUAGAGUUUCACUAAGUUUCGAUGGUAAGCCUUGCCCAUUGUGCUAAUUUCGGCCAUGAAUAUCUCUUCAACAACAUCUUUCGUCGCCAGUACUUUAACAGCUACUUGCAAACCACCAGGAAAUUUGCCUUGGUAGACAUCUCCAUACCCACCAGACCCUAUUUUAUUAAAUUCCGAGAAAUUUGAUGUAAGCUUUUCAAGAUCCCCAUGAGAGUAUGGCUUUGGACCCAAUUCACUUAAGAACUUUUCAACCAAAUCUGAGCUGGUGGCUCCUUCCAAUCUACUAGGAUUCAUCAUAUCUGUGACCUAGCUACAAAUCUCUGCCCUAGCAAGUAAAACACAGAAUAUAGAGUAAAAUUGACAACUACAAAAUUUCUCUAUAAAAUUUUUGAUUGUUCCCAAACUAGGUAAAUCACAGAAGAGAUGGAAAUUUUGAGUUUACCUUUCUAAGUGAAGUCGUGGCAGAGAUGACUGGAGAUCAAAAACCCGCAAAGAAGAAGAAGAAGUGAUCAGUUCUCCCAAAUUUAAUUUUUAUUUUUGGCUCCUCACAACCCUUAAUUUCUUUCUCUAAUCUUCUUAACAAAGAUGGUGAAUUAUAUUUCUACAAGUUUAAAUAAACAGAUGAAGAGAAACAAAGAUGAUGGAAAGUAGAAUGGAUGACCCUUCAAAUCUCUUUUUGGAAGAUAAUGUCGGUUAAUGGUGGGGAAGGAACUUCUUUUUCUUCUUUAAAAACAACAUAAAAAUAAGAUCAACUGUCCCACACAAUUCAUAAAUAGUGACUUCCACUCCAAAUCCAAGCCCCACAACUUUAAAUAAUUGAAAGACAAUCAACAGUCUAAAAAUGUAAAGAAGAAGAAGAGAUGGGAAUCUUGAGUUUUUACCUUUCUAUAUGAAGUACAGGUCUGGAAACCAGAGCCACCAAGAGAGAGCAGUUCUCCUUCUCCAAAAACCAUAAUAUGGUUAUCUAUCUUUUUCUCUCAGAACCAUUUCUUUCUCUCAGCUCAAGUUGUGAAGUUGGGUCAUAAGUAAAUGUUUUUGCCAGAUUAUACUGUAUAUAUAUUACUAGUAUAUUAGAAAACAAUGCAGGUUGAUUGAAUAAUAAAGAAUUCUAAAAAGAUAGUGGUUUGAUUUUGAUCUCUAUGGUUACAGAGCUGCUGAUCACAAAUCUAUCUCCACUACAAAACAAUGUUAAUCAAAGAUACUACUAAAACUUGUUGACAGAAAUGACGAAAUGUCUUCUCUACUCUCCCCCAAUUUCCUCAAUCCUCGUCACCACACUAUCCAUACUUGGGCGCUGAUCUGGAUAAGAAGUAACACAAUCCAUCCCAAUCUGCAGCAACAUUAUCAUCUCUUCUUCAUUGUCAGAGUACCUCAUCAACUCCAAAUCAAACACUUCAGCUGUCCAUUCUUCCCUAACCACUGACUGAACCCAUCUAGGAAGGUCCACAUUUUCAGACACACCAUUUUCAGAGCUCAUUAAUGG